UAUAAAUUCAAAGGAUUAUUGUUAGAUAAGCAAUUAAUAAAUGUUUGGGCCAGGCAAUUCUGGACUGCAGCCAAGUGUGGGCUCCAUUGGCUUGGCUGACCUCUAGAGACCUUUUCCGUUGCACAGGCUGAAGUGCAGUGGUACUAUCACAGCUCUCUAUAGCCUCCACUUCCAGGACUCAAGCAAUUCUUCUACCUCAGCCUCCUGAGUAGCUGAGACCACAGGCACACACCACCAUGCCCAGCUAGUUUUUUGUCUUUGUUUUUUUGAGACGUUGUCUUGCUCUGUCGCCAGGCUGGAGUGCAGUGGUGCGAUCUCAGCUCACUGCAACCUCU
RNAcentral lists this long non-coding RNA (335 nucleotides) under Homo sapiens (human). Its description in RNAcentral is "HSALNT0221471". Lineage: Eukaryota; Metazoa; Chordata; Mammalia; Primates; Hominidae. The record is from RNAcentral.